RNAcentral lists this ribosomal RNA (251 nucleotides) under uncultured bacterium. RNAcentral's name for it is "partial 16S ribosomal RNA". It matches the Rfam family "Bacterial small subunit ribosomal RNA", at positions 15 to 275 of the family's 1533-position model. The record is from RNAcentral.
GAUCCUGGCUCAGGAUGAACGCUGGCGGCGUGCCUAACACAUGCAAGUUGAGCGAUUUACUUCGGUAAAGAGCGGCGGACGGGUGAGUAACGCGUGGGUAACCUACCCUGUACACACGGAUAACAUACCGAAAGGUAUGCUAAUACGGGAUAAUAUAUUUGAGAGGCAUCUCUUAAAUAUCAAAGGUGAGCCAGUACAGGAUGGACCCGCGUCUGAUUAGCUAGUUGGUAAGGUAACGGCUUACCAAGGCG